CACUUAGCUAAGCCACUACCACAUUCCUGACUGUCAGAAACUGAGCGACAUAAUGACUCUGUGGUUUUUAGGCUGCUAUAUCUGGGAGCAAUUUGUUCAACAGGAGUGGUACCUACCUUAAGUAUUAAUAGUUGUUGAGAGUCACCUUUCUCACCCCUUCACUUGAUGGCGCUGUUGUGCAACUGCAAACUCUUGUGGCGACGACUUGUCUCGCUGUACACCAGACAAGAGAUAAAAAGCAAGAUUUGAGAGAGGUUCAUGGAUCACUGGCACAAUCUGCUUAGUUCUACAAAGCAGAGUUUCUGGGCAUCAUUCUCCAUUUCUGUACACAAAGUGCUGUGACGCUCAAGAAGAAACAGCUCUGCGUAGGUACGAUGUGCACUGCCCUAUUGCUUCUUUAUCUAAGAUGGUGUUUCAACUUAAACUUGUGAAUGUGAAAUAUGAGCCAAAAGACUCUCUCGGCCCUGAAAUGACCUUUGUAGCAGAUGCUGCCAGAGGCCCCCUCUUAUCCUCCCUGGACUCUCCACCUAACCUGAUGUCAACUGCCAGUAUGUUCAUCUCCUUACCUGAGGGCUAUUCUGGUGGCAGGAGUCCUUGCUACUCACAGAAAUGGCCACCAGAAGUGCCAGAAAA
Molecule: small RNA, 633 nt
Filed under: Pongo abelii (Sumatran orangutan)
Lineage: Eukaryota; Metazoa; Chordata; Mammalia; Primates; Hominidae
Description: processed transcript
Source: RNAcentral